GACGAACGCNGGCGGCGUGCUUAACACAUGCAAGUCGAACGAAGAGCGAUGGAAGCUUGCUUCUAUCAAUCUUAGUGGCGAACGGGUGAGUAACGCGUAAUCAACCUGCCCUUCAGAGGGGGACAACAGUUGGAAACGACUGCUAAUACCGCAUACGAUCUAACCUCGGCAUCGAGGAUAGAUGAAAGGUGGCCUCUACAUGUAAGCUAUCACUGAAGGAGGGGAUUGCGUCUGAUUAGCUAGUUGGAGGGGUAACGGCCCACCAAGGCGAUGAUCAGUAGCCGGUCUGAGAGGAUGAACGGCCACAUUGGGACUGAGACACGGCCCAGACUCCUACGGGAGGCAGCAGUGGGGAAUCUUCCGCAAUGGACGAAAGUCUGACGGAGCAACGCCGCGUGAGUGAUGACGGCCUUCGGGUUGUAAAGCUCUGUUAAUCGGGACGAAAGNCCUUCUUGCGAAUAGUAGAAGGAUGACGUACC
RNAcentral lists this ribosomal RNA (479 nucleotides) under uncultured bacterium. RNAcentral describes it as "bacterial SSU rRNA". It matches the Rfam family "Bacterial small subunit ribosomal RNA", at positions 28 to 479 of the family's 1533-position model. The record is from RNAcentral.